UGGGGAAUAUUGCACAAUGGGCGCAAGCCUGAUGCAGCCAUGCCGCGUGUAUGAAGAAGGCCUUCGGGUUAUAAAGUACUUUCAGUCGGGAGGAAGGUGGUAAGGUUAAUAACCUUAUCAAUUGACGUUACCGACAGAAGAAGCACCGGCUAACUCCGUGCCAGCAGCCGCGGUAAUACGGAGGGUGCAAGCGUUAAUCGGAAUUACUGGGCGUAAAGCGCACGCAGGCGGUUGAUUGAGUCAGAUGUGAAAUCCCCGGGCUUAACCCGGGAAUUGCAUCUGAUACUGGUCAGCUAGAGUCUUGUAGAGGGGGGUAGAAUUCCAUGUGUAGCGGUGAAAUGCGUAGAGAUGUGGAGGAAUACCGGUGGCGAAGGCGGCCCCCUGGACAAAGACUGACGCUCAGGUGCGAAAGCGUGGGGAGCAAACAGG
RNAcentral lists this ribosomal RNA (429 nucleotides) under Chloroflexota bacterium. Its description in RNAcentral is "Chloroflexi bacterium partial 16S ribosomal RNA". It matches the Rfam family "Bacterial small subunit ribosomal RNA", at positions 355 to 776 of the family's 1533-position model. Lineage: Bacteria; Bacillati; Chloroflexota. The record is from RNAcentral.